GUCGUACAGAAGGCAUGUACAGGUCUGGUUCACAGGUCAUAGGGUCUUACAGAAGGCAUGUACAGGUCUGGUUCACAGGUCAUAGGGUCUUACAGAAGGCAUGUACAGGUCUGGUUCACAGGUCAUAGGGUCUUACAGAAGGCAUGUACAGGUCUGGUUCACAGGUCAUAGGGUCUUACAGAAGGCAUGUACAGGUCUGGUUCACAGGUCAUAGGGUCGUACAGAAGGCAUGUACAGGUCUGGUUCACAGGUCAUAGGGUCUUACAGAAGGCAUGUACAGGUCUGGUUCACAGGUCAUAGGGUCGUACAGAAGGCAUGUACAGGUCUGGUUCACAGGUCAUAGGGUCGUACAGAAGGCAUGUACAGGUCUGGUUCACAGGUCAUAGGGUCGUACAGAAGGCAUGUACAGGUCUGGUUCACAGGUCAUAGGGUCUUACAGAAGGCAUGUACAGGUCUGGUUCACAGGUCAUAGGGUCUUACAGAAGGCAUGUACAGGUCUGGUUCACAGGUCAUAGGGUCUUACAGAAGGCAUGUACAGGUCUGGUUCACAGGUCAUAGGGUCUUACAGAAGGCAUGUACAGGUCUGGUUCACAGGUCAUAGGGUCGUACAGAAGGCAUGUACAGGUCUGGUUCACAGGUCAUAGGGUCGUACAGAAGGCAUGUACAGGUCUGGUUCACAGGUCAUAGGGUCGUACAGAAGGCAUGUACAGGUCUGGUUCACAGGUCAUAGGGUCUUACAGAAGGCAUGUACAGGUCUGGUUCACAGGUCAUGGGGUCUUACAGAAGGCAUGUACAGGUCUGGUUCACAGGUCAUAGGGUCGUACAGAAGGCAUGUACAGGUCUGGUUCACAGGUCAUAGGGUCUUACAGAAGGCAUGUACAGGUCUGGUUCACAGGUCAUAGGGUCUUACAGAAGGCAUGUACAGGUCUGGUUCACAGGUCAUAGGGUCUUACAGAAGGCAUGUACAGGUCUGGUUCACAGGUCAUAGGGUCUUACAGAAGGCAUGUACAGGUCUGGUUCACAGGUCAUAGGGUCGUACAGAAGGCAUGUACAGGUCUGGUUCACAGGUCAUAGGGUCGUACAGAAGGCAUGUACAGGUCUGGUUCACAGGUCAUAGGGUCUUACAAAAGGCAUGUACAGGUCUGGUUCACAGGUC
Oncorhynchus keta (chum salmon) is the source of this 1156-nucleotide long non-coding RNA. RefSeq lists it as uncharacterized. The transcript has 3 exons. The record is from RefSeq and is a predicted model, not a curated record. Lineage: Eukaryota; Metazoa; Chordata; Actinopteri; Salmoniformes; Salmonidae.